GCGGAAAGGAGCACGGUGUUAGGGUGUUGUGCAGCGAGCAGUCCCUUUGGCUAAACGGAGGAACUGGAGAGUGGAGGAGUGGGGCCUGAGGCUGGAAAGCCCCGGGGGCAGAUGCGUGCAGCCUGGAGUGCAGGGCUGUGCGGAUUUGAUUUGACAAAGGCGGUGUGGGAUCCCACGAGGGUGCAGGGCAGGUAGGUGGGGGGAGGCGUCUGGUAGCAGUGUACAGAAUAAUCUGGAAGCACUGAAGGAACCAGCUGGAGGCUUCUACCGAAACCAGGCAGACACAAGGUUCACAGUGCUAGGAUGUUAAGGGAAAAAGUAGAAGUGGAAAGUGAGAGGUAGGAGAUAUUUUGGAGAAGGAACGGAGAUAAUCGAGUGAUUGUGUAUUUGGGGACGAGAGAAAUGACCCAAAGUGAUGGCGAUUUUGAGCUUGGGAGGCAGCGAGAAGAGGGUUCCCCCAGGUGGAGAGGGUGUGUCAUCCGGAGGGGCGGAGCUCCUUUCAGAGCCAUGUUUGUAAGGACAGUAGGAUCCCAACUGGGAACUGUCCAGGGGGCUGGAAAUCAGGACAGAGGAACAGCACAGAGGAACUAACCCAAAGGAUGAAAGAGAUACUACAGAUCUGAAAGGGAGCUAACAGAAAGGAAGAAAGAGAAACAGGGACGGGGAACACCGGCCUUGGGGAGGAGAAGCUGGUGGCCAGGCUGUGGAGGGAAUAUGCAGCGACCUGGCUGCAAACUUCCUGACUUCAGAGGCCAGGCUGGAGCCCAAGAAGGCUUUGAGGACCCGGGGCUGUGCUCCUCGUGUGAGCCAAGUGUAGUCCCUGGCGGUGACGCCAGCAGCCCGGCUCUGCCCGCGUUCCGGCGGCGGGGGGGGGGGGGGGGGGGGGGGGGGGGCGGGGUGCGGACCAGCUGAGCAGGACCAGUGCAGCUCCACGGCAGGAGGCCAGGUUGCCGUCUCUGGUCAGACCCCAGCAGCAGCGCCCCGUAUCGCCAGGGCUCGCGAACCACCUCGGCUGGGGUGUGCUGGCCCGCUCUGCUCAUGUGCUUCGGGUCUUUAUUCCGCUUUGAAUGGGUUUCUUGAAAAACAAACUCUUUGACGUAAAAAAAAAAAAACAACAAAAAACAAAAACAGAACCAGUUUAUGGUCUUUAGAAUGUUGAUUUGAAAUAAAGCAAAUAUUGGUGACAUGCUCUGCAGAUAGUUACAUAAAGCUGUGAAAGAGCCACAAAUAAUUUACUCUAACUGCAGCAUUAAUUAUUGUCCUGUACAAAGUAGCCACCGUUAGGAGUGGUAUCAAUUCCCCAGGAGAUAAGCAUUAUAAAAAUGAUUAAAAGAAUUUCAUAUGAUUUUUGUCAUUAAAAUAAAAUCUCAAUAAACCAGCA
Molecule: long non-coding RNA, 1381 nt
Filed under: Zalophus californianus (California sea lion)
Lineage: Eukaryota; Metazoa; Chordata; Mammalia; Carnivora; Otariidae
Description: lncRNA (ENSZCAG00015007543.1)
Source: RNAcentral